AACUGCUUUGGGCCCCCACCUUCUUGUUGGGCUUUCUCUUUCCCUGGAUGAGAGAAAUACACAUGUGUCAUUCUUCUCCCCUGGUCCCAUGGCACAAUGCAUUGUGGUAAAAGGAGUUCUGUGCUCAGAAUCAUGAAACUUGGAUAGAAUCCUUCCUUUUCUGUCUACUAUCUGUGUAGUAAGUGUUUCUCCUCCUUUCACAGCCUCAGUUUCUUUAUCUGGAAAAAUGGAUAAUCAUUUGCUCUCUAUAUAAUAGGAUUCUAUGUGGAGAAAAUACUUUUUUCAUGAAAGUUACAAAAAGCAUGGCUGUAGGUUCAAUGACUGCCACAUACUCUUUCCUUCAGUCCCUUUCCCUUGGGGCUGCGGAUUCACAGAGAGUUUCUAUUCUUGGUUGGAGUAUAAGCUAUGGUCAUGCAAUGGGGCUGGCCUUGAUCCCCCUUGGCAGGGAAAUUCUUGAGAUGGAAAGGAGAAUUUAAACUUUGUCUCCUUCCCCACACAGAGAUUCACCAUUGUACUUAUAUUUUUCCUCUUUGUGGCAUAAAAUGUCACAUGGAAGCAUGCUACUAUGAAACCUGGUCCUCAUCUAUUGGCUUUAGCAUCCAGUAAUUGGGUCCACAGUAAAAGUCCUGGUACCCAAGUAAUUCACUGCUCUGACUCUCUUGUGUAGAGAUGACAGACCCUCCACUUCCAUAAUCACAUUAAUGGGGAGCAGGACCACAGAGCGAUCAUAUUUGGCCUUAGUUUCCUUUUAUUUCAUGCAGUUUUAUUGUUACAAACCUUAGGAGUAUCCCAACUUCCUGUGCCUGACUCUGGGGAUAUUCUGAAUGGAGAGCAGGGGGGAGAGAUAUAAUUGUGAAAUGGGGAAGUGACCUUGGGAAAGUCAGACACCAACAGCAUAUACUUUAGAGGAGGGAUUAUUUUUUUGUUGGCCUAAAUCUGUACAUAAGGAUGCUUAAAGCACACAUUUCAAUUUAGUAAUGAAAUUAUCUGUGUGUUAUUUUGCUUUUGUUAACUAUUUCCCAAUUACCUUUUCACCUUGUUCAGGCAGCACCUGGGAAUGUUGCAGGCUAUGUAUUUGACACCUGUGGUCUAAAAGAGCUUUUUGUUAAUUUAAUUUUUUCCAAUUAAUCAAAAUCUAUUUUCUGUCCCCCUUCUACCUUCUACCACUAAGUAGGAAAAGUAUGGGUUGUGACUGCAUGAAGCCACAAAUUAAUAUAUUCUUAGGUGGAUACCUGAGGAUAGUUAGAAAGUGAGGGAAAAUGGGCAAAGGGAAUAUAGAGAAAGAGGGAAUAUAAUAAAGGAAGAAAGACUCAGAGACACAGCUUAAAGAGCUUGGGAUCCAGCCUGUGUGCUCCUCUGAUGGUGGUAGAGAGAGAGAGAGAGUGAAUUACCGUAUUUCAUCUAUUUUUUAUUGGGGGAUCAAGGAAUGGGGAAUUGGAGGUAGCUAAUCAUCAUGUGACAUGGCAAAAAAGUUAACAUUGGCUCAUCUGACAACUACAAGAUCAAAGAGGAUGAGUUUAAUUAAACAUGUGACCUGGUAUGGAAUCUGGUCUGACAAGGUUGGAACUAGGACCCUGUAUCAGCCUACCUAGGAAUUCUUCUGACCUUUGGACUGUAGAUUUGGAGAGUGGUCAGACUUAAUAGAGUACCUAUUAAAUACAAUGGUCACUGAAGUGAUCAGAGGUCCCAAGGCUUUCCAAGUUAUUUGCCUUCAGAACACUGUUAUUAUUGUAUAAAUUACCCUCUAGGUCCUACUCUUUUCCUUCUGUCUCAGUUCAGACAAAUGUUCUGAAGUUUCUGUUCUUGAACUCAUUCUGUUUCGUGUUUCUAUGAGUGACUUGGAUCAAAUGAAAGAAUAUCUGUAAAGCACUUUGUAAACGUUUACCAUUAAUGUGUAAAGGGUAAAAUUAUGGCUGAGACUGAAUGUAAUAUUAUUUUUGUCAUCAAGGAUUUUAUUUAUAAAAUGUAGUGAAAAACCCAAGUCAGCUGGAAAUUUUAUGUUGUUUUAAUUGAUAGUGGAGGAAAUUAAGGAGAAGGAAGAAGGAAAGGAAUCGGCUUUCUCUCCCCUUCCCUUCCCCUUGGCUAGUGUGAGGGGGGAGAUGAGGAGAUAAGGUUUUGGAGUAUGAAGGAAAGAGUCAGGCUUGAAUUGCAAAGGGAAAGGGCUAAGCCAAGAUGCCUGAACCUGAAAUCAGCUUCAGAGAAAACUCACCACUGAACUCAGACAAUAGCCAUCACCACACCAAGAUGUAGGAACGCCUAGCACACUGCCAUCCUGAGUUGUUUCUUCAGGGAAAACGGAGGAAAGAGGAAGUGACGUGCCUUAUAUAGUCAGUUUUACAUCACUUUCCUGCAUCUCAUCUGUACCAGUGAUCACUUAGCUUGACUUAGGACAGCCCAAAGGUCUGUCAUUUUUUUUUGUACAUGUCUGUUGAAGGCCAUUUCCUCAGAUAAUUAAAUCUUGGGUUUGAUGCAGACCUUCCUAAUCAUGUUAAACUAAAAAGAGUGGAGAAUGUAGAGUUUUCAAGACCUGAUUCUGUUAUUCCAAGUAUCUCCAUUGUUAUUGAUCAGGAAAUAGCUAAAUCAGAUCUUCUAAAGAAUGGUCUGAUUAGGGGGUAAGAGUUUUCAAAUUCACAAAUGUUCUACUGAUUCUAGAGACAAGCAGAAAGCAUUAUUUUGAAACUGGAAGGAAAGGAAAUAAAGAAAAAAUUGGGAGGAUAGGGAUGGUAGAAGCAGAUAUGAUGCAGAAGUAGCUCAGGAAGCUGGCACAGUAGAUGGAAUGUGAUAAGAUGAAUGAUAUUGGGGAUUGAUACCAGGUCCUAUCCUUGAGUACAAAAAGUCCAAAUCACCAAAAAGCAUCGGCCUUGAUGGGGCAGUGACUGGUACCCAUGUCAUAGAAAAAAGUUGAAGUAAUGCGGGAUGGUUGAUUUUAAAAAGAAGAAAUUGGAAACAGACUUUUAAUACCAUGUUAGAUUGCAUAAAGAGACCGUGGGGAUGAUUGAGAGAACCACCAACAUAUUAUCAAUUGGAAAGGUAACAGGGCACUUGAAAAAAACAUCAUGCAAACUUUUUUUAACCCUUACCUAUUAGCCUUAAAAUCAAUACUAUGCAAUAGAGGUUAAGUGACUGACCCAGGGUCAUAUAGCUAGAAAGUAUUUGAGGUCAGAUUUGAUCCCAGAACCUUUGAUAUAUAGGCCUGGUUCUCAAUGCAUUGAGCUACACAGUUACCUCACCCACCAAUGCAGUCUUAAGGAUGUCCACUUCCAAGAACAAGGAGAUAGCCAUCCUUCCGUACUAUCAGAUGGCACUUGGAGUUUUGUAUUUAGUUCUAGAUGACACAAUUUACAAGGGGCAUCAGUGAACUUGAGAGUGUUCAGCCAGUUUGUUGAGGGGUCUGGGGUCUCUGAAGAUCGAUUGAGGGAACUACAUAUUAGAAAAAGGAAUAGAAACCUUUGGGGAGGGGCCUGAUAGCAAUUUUCUGGACUCUUAUAUGGAAGAGGAAUUAGAAGUGUUUUGUAUGACCUCAGAGGGCUGAACUAGAAUCAUAGAGGCAAAUGGUGAUGGAAAGCAAAACCCUUGUGUGUGAGGAGACUAUCUUCAUGAAGUCAUUAUUAAGUCAUAUGUCCAACUUUUCCUGACUCCAUUUCUUAGCAGAGAUCCUGGAGGGGUUUGCCAUUUCCUUGUCCAGCUUAUUUUACAGAUGAUGAAAUUGAGGCAAACAGGAUGAUGUGACUUUCCUAGCGUCAAACAGCUAGUCAAUGUCUGAGGCCAGAUUUGAACUCAGAAUGAUGAGUUUCCUGACUCCAAUUUCCAUCCACUAUACCUCCUAGCUGUCAUUUAAUCAUUAAUUAGAGCUUAAUCCCCAAACCUGGCUCUAUUUGGGGAAAAAAGCAAAAGUUAAGCUUGCUUCCCUUCCCCAAUACUUAACCAUUUCUCACCAAUCCAAUGUUUUCUGUAGUGAGGUUGUAGCUUUGAUCAGUCUUGAUUACGGGGUCUGGUCAGCAUCUUCAUGUUUUUUAGCCAAUCUAAAUUAACUACUAACACUUAAUUAAUAAUAGUUUAGUGAGAGUAAAAUGUAAAAAUACUGAACAAAUGAAAGUACAUGUCAAACUUUUGUGGUCGUCACAUGGCAAUAAUUAAAAUUAAAUUAUGAGGCUGGUAGUAGCUUGAAUAGAUUUAUUACAUAAAAGUAGUGAUAGGAAAGAAAGGGAAAUGUAGGAAAGAAGGUCGUGAGUUGAUUAGCUGAAUACCCUAUUUACUAUUUGAUGUAUUGCAGCUAACCACCUACGAGAGAGAGAGAGAGAGAGAGAGAGAGAGAGAGAGAGAGAGAGAGAGAGAGAGAGAGAGAGAGAGAGAGAGAGAGAGAGAGAGAGAGAGAGAAGAGCAGGAGAAGCUCCUUGGGUAAUCUUAUAAGCAGUUUUCUCCACCCACUAGGUCUCCCCAUCACAUCUCAGGAACCAAUCAUAGUACCUCAGUUUGCCUGGCAACUCCCAGGGGGGCAGUUCCUGUGGGAUUAGUUUCCCCCCUCUUUGGUUUCAACUUCCUUUCUCUGAGGGUUUGUCUAUACAUGCACAUCUCAAUGGUAAAUGACAUCUUCUCUGAAAAUCUGUGAAAGACUCCUCCAGUCUCCAUUUCUGUGCCUUUCUCCCUUGGGAGCCUUUGAUUUCCAAGGGUCAGGUUAACCCUUUACCUAACUUACAAAAGGGACUUGGGCUUGUUCCCUCCCAGCCCUAGAAAGAGCAAAAGAUCCUCCCUAUUCUGAGUCCCAGAGUGGCAAGAGCCGUCCAUCUCAACCUGGCCAAGUGAGACUUGCAGUAGAGGAACCAUAUUCUCACCCUUACUUUCCCUCCCUUGUUUUUGUCACUGUAUGUGAGAUGGGAAGGUCUUCCUUUAAUGAACUUUCCUAUGGAAGUUCUGGGAUCUUCAUUCCCUGUUCCUUGACUGGAAACUGCUACUAAGGAAUCUCUCUAAAGGGAAAUCAGAAACACAUGAAGAGUUUAUGUAGUGUAGGACAUCUGAAAUAGGCUAAUAAAGCACCUCUCCAUGCCAGUCAUCUGGUGCUAAGGUUGCUGGACUGUGCAGGAAUGGGAACACUGAGGAAGCAUUUCCUUCUGAGGAUUGUGGUAACUCUCCAGUUCUCAGGUCUCUCCCACAGCUUUCUCCUUUUCCUGAUUUCUCUUUUCUUAGCAACUAGGUGAAAAGGCUCAGUGGAUAGAGGGGCCAGGUCUGGAGACAGGAGGUCCUGGCUUCAAAUAUAUUCUUAGACACUUGCUAUCUAUGUUACCCUGGGCAUUCCACUUACCCCCAAUUCUCAAGCCCUUACUACUCUUCUGCUUUAGAACCAACAUUUAAUAUAUAUUCUAAAACAGAAGUUAAGGAUUUUUUUAAUGUGAGAAUCCUGGGCCCCAGGACAAGAAAUGAGGAUGAGGAAGAUGUGGACUCCUUCUAUCCACUGUAUAGGACAGAUAUUCUUAGUUUGCUAUUUUUCUCCAUAAAAUUUUUUCCAGUGUCAAGAGCUGUUUUUGCUGUUGUUUACUCCUUUUUCUCCUGGAGGAUUGGGAUUCUUGCCUGUCGGUUGUCAUUGCUUUCCUAGCUUCUCUCUCAAGGACUUUGCCUUGGACUAUCUUUCCUUCCCUUUCAGAGGCCUGAGUGGUGUCAGGUAGAUCUGUGAUUUGUGUGUGUGUGUGUAGUUCAUGCUUCAAGGCAUUUUGUCCUAAGUCUAUCUUCCUCAGUUGUUGCCUGCUGGAUUGUCAAAUGCAACAUGGGUUUUCCCCCAAAUUUAUGAUCUUCACCUCUCCUUUGGCUGAGUGUUAUUCAGCUUUGAGUCUCACUGCCAAGGCCAGGCAUAGCCCUCAGGGGUAUUCUGUGGUGUUUUUAAUCAGCCUUUGAUAAUUUGGAAAUUUUCCUAGCCCUGGCUUUAACUAUGGCUCAGCAGGUAGGUGGGGGAAGGGGGAGACAUGGUCAACUAGUAGUUUGAUUUGAGCAGUUUCUCCCCCUUACAGCAUAGGAAUCCUCACUUACUGCCUACCUUUCACACUGUGUCCAGUGGGAGAAGCCCUUACUCCUCUCGUUCUGAUUUCUGUCCUUUUGAGAUGCUUUGUAAUGAUUGGUUAGAAGGAUAUUGAGAAAAGCUCCUGCUAUGCUGCCAUCUUGGCUCUGCCCCUGUUGGUUUCCAACUGCAGCCCUUCUGCUUCCCCAGGUCAUUCCACAUCAAUGGCUCACCAAAUGAGGUCAGCUUUAUCCCUUACUCCAAGGGAAUCUAUUAGCCCAAACUGGGUAAUCCUCUAGACACAGAAAUGAGAUGAUACUCACUAGAAGAGUUUCCAUACACCCAGCACUUUAAAGUCUACUAAGCAAUACAACAUCUUAUUGGGUUCCAAAGCAUAAGCAUUAUCUUCAUUUGACUGGCCAGGAAACUGAUAAGUAUCACUGGGCUAACAGGAAGCUUCCUCCCUUCCCUACUUCCCACGUCACUGAUCCUCUUCUUAUCAGUCCACAGGUGCAUUCAUUCAUUCAUCUAACUGACCUGGGCCACACCAGGCCAUUCACCUCUAUCCCACAAUAGUUUUCACCCAUUUCCUCAAUAUAAAGUCCCUAGGCUCUGGACUAGAGCUACAGAAAAAUGACUCAGUCCCUGCCCCCCUCCAGGAGUAUGUCCCAAACAAGAGGAGCCAAAGGAAGAAUGUGACUGAGAUAGACAGUAUGGUUCAGAAUCACAAAAUUUCCCUUUCAGAAAAGGAAAACUUAUUGUUCAGUUAUUUCAGACGGGUCUGUGUCUUCAAGACCCUAUUUGGUGUUUCUUUACAAAAGUACGGAAGUGUUUUGUUAUUCCCUUCUCCAGCUUCUUUUACAGAUGAGAAAACUGAGGCAAACAGCAUUCAUUGACUACCUCCUUUAAAAGUAAACAAUUAUUCAAAAGUUUGGUGGCUCUCUCAGGAGUAGUGAGCUCCCUGUUACUGAAGGUCUUCAGGAAUAGGUUGGAUGGCCACUAGCCAGGGAGAAGCUUAGAGGACAUCUAGACUUCAGAUAUCAUUUAUACUAGAUGUGUACAGCCUUUUACAGCCUUGACAGUGUUGACAAUUACCAAGUGGGAAGGGCCCCAGGGGAUGAUACUUUCCUUCUCUGUGCAAUAUACCCUCCACUGAUCCCCCACUGUGCCUGGCAGAUUGAAGAAGAAGCCAAUGUUUCUCUGAACUUCAAAGCCCAGAAAUCAUCUGCAAGUCUAAAUCCUCAAUGACAUUAGACCCCAUUUACUAUGAAAUCCAAAGGAAAUGACCUGGUCCUUCUCGUUCUCUGCACUGCACAUGUAUGUGCAAGCAGACCUCUGAGAUGCUACAGGUUUGGUUCCAGAUCACCAAAUAAAGCCAAUGUAGCAAGUU
This is a non-coding RNA of Monodelphis domestica (gray short-tailed opossum), 7376 nucleotides long. The record is from RefSeq and is a predicted model, not a curated record. Lineage: Eukaryota; Metazoa; Chordata; Mammalia; Didelphimorphia; Didelphidae.